RNAcentral lists this ribosomal RNA (427 nucleotides) under uncultured bacterium. RNAcentral describes it as "bacterial SSU rRNA". It matches the Rfam family "Bacterial small subunit ribosomal RNA", at positions 355 to 773 of the family's 1533-position model. The record is from RNAcentral.
UGGGGAAUUGUUCGCAAUGGGCGCAAGCCUGACGACGCAACGCCGCGUGGAGGAUGAAGAUCUUCGGGUCGUAAACUCCUUUCGAUCGAGACGAAUUCCUCGGGGGUGAACAAUCUCCGAGGUUGACGGUACCGAGAGAAGAAGCCCCGGCUAACUCCGUGCCAGCAGCCGCGGUAAUACGGGGGGGGCAAGCGUUGUUCGGAAUUACUGGGCGUAAAGGGCUCGUAGGCGGCCAACUCAGUCGAACGUGAAAUCCCUCGGCUUAACCGGGGAACUGCGUCCGAGACUGGAUGGCUCGAGUGUGGGAGAGGGAUGCGGAAUUCCAGGUGUAGCGGUGAAAUGCGUAGAUAUCUGGAGGAACACCGGUGGCGAAGGCGGCAUCCUGGACUACUACUGACGCUGAGGAGCGAAAGCCAGGGGAGCAAAC